Molecule: ribosomal RNA, 627 nt
Filed under: Streptomyces mobaraensis
Lineage: Bacteria; Bacillati; Actinomycetota; Actinomycetes; Kitasatosporales; Streptomycetaceae
Description: Bacterial large subunit ribosomal RNA
Rfam family: Bacterial large subunit ribosomal RNA
Source: Rfam by way of RNAcentral
UGUCGUGACUGCGUGCCUUUUGAAGAAUGAGCCUGCGAGUUUGCGGUGUGUUGCGAGGUUAACCCGUGUGGGGAAGCCGUAGCGAAAGCGAGUCCGAAUAGGGCGAUUUUAGUAGCGCGCCCAAGACCCGAAGCGGAGUGAUCUAGCCAUGGGCAGGUUGAAGCGGAGGUAAGACUUCGUGGAGGACCGAACCCACCAGGGUUGAAAACCUGGGGGAUGACCUGUGGUUAGGGGUGAAAGGCCAAUCAAACUCCGUGAUAGCUGGUUCUCCCCGAAAUGCAUUUAGGUGCAGCGUCGUGUGUUUCUUGCCGGAGGUAGAGCACUGGAUAGGCGAUGGGCCCUACCGGGUUACUGACCUUAGCCAAACUCCGAAUGCCGGUAAGUGAGAGCGCGGCAGUGAGACUGUGGGGGAUAAGCUCCAUGGUCGAGAGGGAAACAGCCCAGAGCAUCGACUAAGGCCCCUAAGCGUACGCUAAGUGGGAAAGGAUGUGGAGUCGCAGAGACAACCAGGAGGUUGGCUUAGAAGCAGCCACCCUUGAAAGAGUGCGUAAUAGCUCACUGGUCAAGUGAUUCCGCGCCGACAAUGUAGCGGGGCUCAAGCGUACCGCCGAAGUCGUGUCAUUGCAG